This is a long non-coding RNA of Tigriopus californicus, 5829 nucleotides long. RefSeq lists it as uncharacterized. Lineage: Eukaryota; Metazoa; Arthropoda; Copepoda; Harpacticoida; Harpacticidae. The transcript has 3 exons. The record is from RefSeq and is a predicted model, not a curated record.
AUGAACAAUUGAUCCUGUUGGUGUCAGUUUUUGUUUUCGGGGUAGCAGGGUCCCGCCGAAGACCUUGCGACUGGGCUUUCUGAGCACCCCGGCUGUCACCUUUCCUUUCAAAGGUCUUGGUGCCCAUGCCAAUUCCUGGUGACAGUAACCCAGAUUCCCUCUCCAGUAACAGCAUUCGGUUGGUCUUGAACUCAAGAGUGCAGGUUUGAGUCCUCGAUCAUAUACGUCUAGUCGAAAGGAUCAUCAACUAACUCACUGGCUACUCGUCCUCUACUACCAGUUUUGCAUGUUGUUGAAGUCCUUUUGACUGAUCCGAAUUUGAGGAGAGGGACGAAGAAGAAGACGUCAAUACCAACGCCCAACAUCCUCUUCCAAGAUGCUAUUGAGUGUAAGAAAGAUUGGUACAAGAUAUCCAAAGCGUGCUAUUGAUUACCUUUUUUGAGAAUCGCCCUUACCCACCUGUAGCAAAGAGCAUCUGAAAGCUUAUUUGCGCGGGGGCACCAUACUUGGUCAUAUCUCUCACGAAGUUUCAAGCAGUCACCCCCCUAGUUUUCUCAAGUCGCCAAAUUCAAGAUCCGGACGUUUUGCAUCAACAUUGACCUCACUCCCAGGAAGCCGGCUCUUCUCUUCCCAUCCAAGCUUUUGAACCCACCCAUUUGCCGAUGUUGCCGUCACAGUGGAUUUUAAGUGUAGUGUUUCCCUUGAAGGUCGUGCCCGUCGAGCCCCCUUAACAGUAUUUCCAAUAGUCACCUCGGACACCUCCAUAGAGAGAGACACACUUUUGAAACGAUUCAAACAAAGUGCUAGUGAUGUGAUCAGUGCCGUAGUGAACCAACCCAAGAAUUUCGAUGACGACACGACAACCUCAGCCAUGUUCAACUCUGGUCGUGAUCCUCCCUCUGGCGAUCCAAUACACCCAUGUGCUCUCUCGCUUCACUCCGGACGAUCACCCUGUUUCUACAACUCUUAUACUACUAUUUCAUCUACUACAUACAAUAACAGCACCAAGUCCUGUAGCCAAGUUAGCCUCAUCCUCGUCAUGAACCAAUCCUCAGCAUCUGAACCCAUAUGCCAAGUCAGGAGCUGAAGAGAAGUGCUUUGUGUUCGUCUAGUUCCUAAUCAUCGUCAACGUCUUUGUCAUGCAUCUCAUCUUUCUCGUUUACAUUUAUUAGUAGAUCCUUCGACAACGUCAACUCACGCGAAUGUUUAUUAUAUACAUACAUACACACUAUGAAUGAACCGGAGCACCUGAACGCUUCGCAUCAACUUCACACCCUACCAAGCGAAACCCCGACUAGCGACUGAAGGAUCUCCUUCUCAGGGAACAAUCCAUGGUGGGAGUGGACACACUGAUGGGACGUCAAUCCUGUCCCCAGUGUCUUGGUCGCCUGCGUUUCCAUCCCAAGGAUGAAGACAAGGAGACCUCUCCCAAGACAACGAUUCGGGCACGAAACCACGCCUUAGCUUCCAUAGGCGUUUCCCUGUUAGGAAAUCAGAAGACUUCACGUCAGGCAUAUGUUUGAAUUAUAUUCUGGGCAACUGGACGUCCGACCUUGAAUUGGCCUGAGAGGUCUCAUCUUCAACCACACAAUGAUGCUGUCUCUAGCAUCCUUGGCAAACUUGGGGAUGAAUCUUGCAGAGGUCAGAGUCUAACUCUCUCUCUCUCUCUAUCCUGUUCGUAGAAAUAGUAGAAAAAAAAUCAUCUUGCCGUUUGCUCAUCUAAAAUUCUACUCUACAUAUUAAUCAUCAAUCUCAACUCGAAUGUUGCUAAAAUUAGAGUUCCAGAAACCAGAAGAAGUCCAGUGACCAGAGGGACACGUCCAUAAAGGGUAUGAACACAUGUGUUUUGAGGUCUAUCCAAGCAUCGAGAUCACCUAGAGCGAGGAAAACAACAACAAAAGCAAGAGUCAGGGUAAUGAGGAAGCCCUUGUGACCCAAGAUUUGCAUUCCCUUCACUCUCGAUCUAGCAAUGAAUCCUAGAAAAUCAAUUCCGCUCAUCGUGAAAUAGUAGUGACACGCAGAUCUACCUUCGAAUCGGAUCCAAGCAUCUCCGGUUUUCAUGAUGUGCUCAUUGCCAGUGAAUGAGUGAUUUUCUGCUUGAAGGACCUUGGUCUCAUAUUGAUUUGGAAGCCAGUGACUGCGUGCAUGCUCGUUCUUUGGAGUUUCACAAGCAGGCCAUAUUUUUGCUUUCAUCCCGACCUUUCUUUCACAAUACAAUAGAGAGGGUCAGUAGUCAGUCAACUCACACUCCCUGUGCCAUGUGCGGUAGAAGAGACUACAACCGAUCCAACUACGUGCUCCUUCUCCCUAUACUACUUGUUUGCCAACACCUAAUAUUAUAAUUACUAUUACUACUACAGUUAGAACCACUGCUACUAUGACGACUACUUUAACAACUACCACUGUCCAACAGAACUACUGCUCCUCCAUUUACUCAUUCUCCUCCUCUUGUUAUAUCCACCUUUUGUCAUUGCAACAUCGUCGUCAUCAUCAUCCUCCUCCUAAGUGUACAAAUGUACAUUAUUUAUGCACUGUUUUCUGCAACUGAACGCAGAAGUUCUCCAGUUAAGAUGGAACCGUUUUUUCUUGUCAUAGUUCAUAAUCGAGUCAUUUUCUAUCCUUCGUAUUCCUAUUUAUGAAGAAGCACUUUGACAAGUUUUGAUCAUAGUGGAUGAGGAAUCAAUGAGAAAACAGAGAGAGAAAGAAAGAGCGAGCGAAGAUGUGAAGAAAGUGAAAGAGAGAGAAGAAAAGCUGGAGCCUUUUAUUGCAUCGGGUGGAUACUUGAUGGAAGAAGACGGAGAAGAAGAAAAAGAAGAGAACAGAGAGGAAGAAGAUUCAUUCAUAUUGAAAACCCUUAUUGUGAGAAACAUUUGUCAAACAAGUGUGAUCUAAUUGAGAAGAGUUGAAGAUUAUCGCCCUACCCAAAUCUAGCAUUGAUUGGCGCUUUUCCCACGUUGUGGCUCAGUACGCUCAUCAGCAUCCUUGGAUGGUCGUUCUUUGGAACCACUGGACGUCUACGGGCCUCCUUUGAGAUGCAUCUUGUUCUUCUUUACCAGCCUUGCUCAUGUUUGAUGUUGGUCAACAUUUUUGGAACCAAACUGUCUUGAAAUGGCCCCAUCCGGUGGCAUCUCAAGAAUCAGCCUCAAAAACGUCGUCACUAUUGGCCUGUAAAAUUGGAAAGAAGUAAACAUGUUCCAAAGUCUCGCUACAACCAUCCUCUCCUCCCCAAAAAGCAGCCAACUUCUUCCUAAAAGACGACAAAAAGAUGGAGUGGAAAAUAUGAUGUCCAAUUCUGGUCAACUGAACGACUACAAACCUUUUGACAAAGGGCAACUGAAAGCCCGCCUCCAGCUGGUAUGAGACACGCUCGGUAGUAAGCUGUGUCGCCGUCAAACGAUGAAUCUAGUGGGACCUCAUGAAUGCCGUAAUACACUCAGGGAAAUAGGGCGAUGGGAGAGAUCGUGCUGGCUCAGCUGGAUAGACUGACAUUCAUACUUCUUCUGUCCCUCUCAAGAAGAUGGAUCUCAUUGCUUCAACCAUGUCUUUGAUCCAAUAACCCCCCCUAGCAUUCCCACCCUGUUCAUCCUUGAGCGGGAGGCCAAAAUGAUUGAGGACGGUCCAACCACCAGCAAUCCAUCCCCCGUGCUUGCCACGCCAUGGCGAGCAGAGACACGGGAGGCCUCAGAGCCCUCAACAUUUUGGAUGGCCACGCAUCUUCUCCACAACUGUGUGCUGACCAUGCCUGUUGCACGGCACUCCCCAUUAGCUCCCACAAGAUGACCCCUCUCCAUUCUGUCGCCCAGCUAGCGGUGUAGGUCCUCGUUUUGGGACUGCACAUUCAAGAUACAGAGGCACACACAGCGCGUGUGUUUCCCUGUAUGAAAUGGUGUCAUCAUGGUUACCACCUGACUUAGAAGCUCUUAUUGAAGAAGUCCAAACUUAUCCGAUGACAAAUUGGAUGCUUCACCCAUGAAGGACUGACUUCUUGGCACCAUGGGCAUUGCUUGACCAGUCUGCCAUGCCUUUGGAAGUCUCAUCAACGCGAGCAGCCUGGCUCACGCUGGGCCUUGAGUCACCGCCCAAGGGCAGUUUUCUUCUGCUUGGUAUUUAACUGUACGAGAUGUCCACUCAAGCAGUGGCAAUGCAAGGAACGGUGGGCGCAAUCUUCAACCAACCAUCUAACAAUUUCAACAGCAACUUUAAUCUUCGUGACCAUGAACAAGUAACUGAAGGGAGUAGUAGUACCUAUACGUUACAUUCUCAAAAGCUCAACAACCAAAUUGAAAACAAGCAAAAACAUAAAAAAGCAAGUGGCACUUUUGACAGAGCAACAGAAAGCUCGCCCUAGAAGCAGACCAUUGUCAGAGCCAAAAAAAAGCAAAACAAAAAUGAAUGAAAACAGCCAAACGCUCAUGGGAUCGAUUCAAUGACUCAAUCAAUCCUGUUUUGCCCACAUGCAUGAUGAGAAGAAGUCAUUGCAGGGGAUUGAAAUAACUCCUUUUUUUGCCGGGGUUAACCGAGGGUUGUCCCCCAAAACUUGUCCCUCCUCUCUUUAGAGAUAGGCUUCGCUUGAGGCAAUUGUGACUUUAAACCUUAACGACCCUCCCCCGUGAAGGAAUUUUCUAAAUCAGAUUUCUUGUUGGAACCACCGUGUUCGCACACCCCAGUGAGUAAUUGUGUAUGCCUUGAUUUUUGCAUGUGAGUUUGAGUCUUCAAAGACUGUUUUCCUAUUGCUAUUAGUGUAUUAUCAUUUAGCAACAACAACAACAUCAACAACAACAACAACUACUACUUCUACCACUACUACAUCAACAACAACAACUACUACUAUUACUACUACUACAAGAACUACUACUACUACUACAACUUGAUCGAGCAUCAGACCGCUUGACCAAUAACUCCUGAAAAGUGUCCACAAGUUUCAUCCUACUGCAACAUACUGUGAAGUCAGCAUAUUUGAGAAACGUAAAAAAAUAAUAACGCAAUCUUUUUGAGAGCAUCAGUACGCUCGAAACCAGUCCAAGGAAUCGAAUAAUCAAUCCCCUUCUUCAGUUCAUGAUGGCCAAGGAGCAGUUGGUUAGAUUUAAGAGAACCAAAUAAAAAAAAUCACUGAAACCCCCAAAAUAGCUACCACCUGAAACGAAGAACCUUUAAUAUCGAAAUACGAAGAGCCCCCAUUGAUUCCCAAAAAUGAAUGGAAAAGCCAACCCUAGCUGUCAAAUGAGACCAGCAGUUUGAACCCAAAUUUGCUCUUUUGCCGAACUUUGCUUCUUUCGGACCAUGUCCUGUCUCUGGGGCCUUUGUGCAACAUUGGAACAUCUUUUCCAAGCAUCUGAAGAUCCUUCCCAUCCUAAACUGUUUGUCCUGGAAGGGUCCUGAUCUCGCAUCCCGGGAUUUUUUUUUGUAUUUGAUCACUGAAGCCUCCAGGAACAAUGUUGAUUUGUGGAUCUUCCUCCAUCAAUGCAUUUUUCUCAUUUCCAAUUACCCUUAACAUCCCCCAAACUAUCCAGAGACAUGAUUCCAAAACCCAAGUUCAAUCCCACUCGGCAAAUCCCACUGGCAUAAAAACGCAAGGUUUGAUGUUCCGUAUAGAUCAUACACUAUACAGUACAAUUGCAGGCAUAACCAGCAUCUCUAUAUAUCUAAACCUCUUACGCAAGAAGAGUAUAAAACAGAUAACAGAACAACCCAAGAAAACCACCGUGGAUCGGUGAAGAUCCACUCCAAAAAAAUGAAAUGACAAAAACCCUACAAAAGAAAGAAAAACAAGUUUGUUCAAUUUUGGCCUCUAAAUUCUUGAAAUAAACACCUUCCAAUUCGGCAUUAAAA